Molecule: long non-coding RNA, 1832 nt
Filed under: Mytilus galloprovincialis (Mediterranean mussel)
Lineage: Eukaryota; Metazoa; Mollusca; Bivalvia; Mytilida; Mytilidae
Source: RNAcentral
GCUUUGUUAAAAAUAUAAAGAAAUCUUAUAUGUAGUUGCUUAGACAAAUGUAUUGCUGACAGAUCUAAGGUAGGACUGACUCAUUUGGAACAGAGUUAGUAUAACAUCAAAAUGAGAAUUAUAAUCAGUUUGGUUUGUAUGGAGUACCAUUUUGGCAGAUUAUAAUUUUAUAUCUUGUCAAUCAUUUAUUAUCAAAUGUCAAUAAAACAUCUGACUGGAUAUUAAAUAUGACUACUACAGGGUUUCCCCUGGGUCAAUUAUUUUUUUCGCCACCUCUUUCGCCAAAACAAUAUAUUUUUCGCCACUUUAUUAUUUUUUUCGCCAAGUAACAUAAAUAUAUUUUUCCUGUUGUGCCCUUUUGUACUAAGAAGUAAUUUUUACAACAAACAAAAGCUUUUAUCACAUGAAAUUGAUCCCUCAUUUCAUGUGUAGUCAUUACAUUGAAGGGUUACUCUCAUUCGAGGGGUUGUUCCCAGCCUUUUGGAUAGAUUUUUUCAUAACGACAGUUUUCUUUUCUUGACCAUCGUAAAUGAAAAAGUUGAGACGUACAACUAUGCUUGAAACACGUGCAUGUGUCACUCAAACGACUUUAUUAAAGUCAAAGGAUAAAAGAAUUAAAGUUUUAAAUCGGAGAUUUUUCUUGCUUUUGAACAAUUUUCGUCACAACAACAGCUUUCUUUUCAAAACUAUAUUUAAAGGGAGGGAUGUCAAAAGUUUGCUUCAAACACGUGCGUCGCAAAGAUGUAAAUAAAUUCUGUAUGUGACAUUUAUAGCGGAAGCCAUUUGACCAUAUCAUUUUGUGAAACAAUUCAAUCAACACCUUUAUUAAUUAGUCCUUUGUUGUCGAUAGCUAUAAAAUGCAAUCAGCUGAUUAUUGAUGUUCUGUCUAAAUCUUAAUGAGGUCAAGGUGAAUUCCGAGUAUUGUCUGAUCGGGUAAAGUCCGAGAAACUCGAAAAAAAGUAAAUAAACAAGAUGGAGGAAAAUAAAUCGGUUUAUAUAUUUCUUUCGCCAAAUUCUUUCGCAAAUGACGAAUUUUUAUCGCCACAAUUAUUAUUUUUUCGCAAAUUGCGAAAAUGGCGACCGCCAGCGGAAACCCUGACUACUAUUUAAAAGAUGUGGGGUUAACAACAAUGGUGCAGCAUUACAUUGUAGAUGCAAGUUACAAAAUCUAAACAAAACAUAUAUUACUCAGAAUUAUGAUAGCAUAAUGUCCAGUGGGAGGUUACUCGGAAGUAGAAGAAAGAAUGUUAAUCAUCUUGUACACAACUUUGUGUUCUGUAUUUAUUUGCUUCAUCAAGGUUUCCUUUAAUUUAAUAAUACCUGCUGUGUUCCUACCUCAAUUAUGAAUUUCUUUUCUUCAUACAACAGUUUUAUGGAUGACCUUAGAUGGAAUUUUAAAAUAUCAAGAAUCUAAAAUUAAUACUAUAAAUCAGAAGAGCAUAAGUUAAAGAACAAAAUAAGCUAAAAAUGUUGAUAGGUUAUGGAGCUACUGUCCAAGAUGUUUGAGUUUUAAAAAAUGGCGGGAAAAGGCUGACUCUAGCUUUUAUCUUAUAUUUGCAUUAAUAUUAUUUGGGUCUCAAAUCAAAAGAACCUGCUUAAAUUUUGGUAAUGUACCUUUUAUGGGCUAUUGAAGUCCUAUUCGAAAAGAAAAAUGGGUGUUAUAGUGCAAAAUAUUUUACCCUGUAUCGUAGGUAAAAAAAACAUGGAGUUUGAACAUCUGACACAAAUUCCUAAACCUCACCUAAAAACAUCCUUCAGAAUCAAUUGUACAGAUCUAUACCUAUUGAUAUGCAUACAAAGCACUUAGUAAUAUCAAAUAUAACAUAUAAUAU